RNAcentral lists this ribosomal RNA (504 nucleotides) under uncultured bacterium. Its description in RNAcentral is "partial 16S ribosomal RNA". It matches the Rfam family "Bacterial small subunit ribosomal RNA", at positions 29 to 523 of the family's 1533-position model. The record is from RNAcentral.
AUUGAACGCUGGCGGCAGGCCUAACACAUGCAAGUCGAGCGGUAGCACAGGGAGCUUGCUCCUGGGUGACGAGCGGCGGACGGGUGAGUAAUGUCUGGGAAACUGCCUGAGGGAGGGGGAUAACUACUGGAAACGGUAGCUAAUACCGCAUAACGUCGCAAGACCAAAGAGGGGGACCUUCGGGCAUCUUGCCAUCAGAUGUGCCCAGAUGGGAUUAGCUAGUAGGUGGGGUAAGGGCUCACCUAGGCGACGAUCCCUAGCCGGUCUGAGAGGAUGACCAGCCACACUGGAACUGAGACACGGUCCAGACUCCUACGGGAGGCAGCAGUGGGGAAUAUUGCACAAUGGGCGCAAGCCUGAUGCAGCCAUGCCGCGUGUAUGAAGAAGGCCUUCGGGUUGUAAAGUACUUUCAGCGGGGAGGAAGGCGAUAAGGUUAAUAACCUUGUCGAUUGACGUUACCCGCAGAAGAAGCACCGGCUAACUCCGUGCCAGCAGCCGCAGUAA